Molecule: ribosomal RNA, 2335 nt
Filed under: uncultured crenarchaeote
Lineage: Archaea; Thermoproteati; Thermoproteota
Description: bacterial SSU rRNA
Rfam family: Archaeal small subunit ribosomal RNA (bases 1-1373)
Source: RNAcentral
AGUCAGCAUGCCCAGGGGACGUGGAUAACCUCGGGAAACUGAGGAUAAACCGCGAUAAGUCACUACUUCUGGAAUGGGUAAUGACUUAAAUCUAUAUGGCCCCUGGAUUGGACUGCGGCCGAUCAGGCUGUUGGUGAGGUAAUGGCCCACCAAACCUGUAACCGGUACGGGCUCUGAGAGGAGGAGCCCGGAGAUGGGCACUGAGACAAGGGCCCAGGCCCUAUGGGGCGCAGCAGGCGCGAAACCUCUGCAAUAGGCGAAAGCCUGACAGGGUUACUCUGAGUGAUUUCCGUUAAGGAGAUCUUUUGGCACCUCUAAAAAUGGUGCAGAAUAAGGGGUGGGCAAGUCUGGUGUCAGCCGCCGCGGUAAUACCAGCACCCCGAGUGGUCGGGACGUUUAUUGGGCCUAAAGCAUCCGUAGCCGGUUCUGCAAGUCUUCCGUUAAAUCCACCUGCUUAACAGAUGGGCCGCGGAAGAUACUAUAGAGCUAGGAGGCGGGAGAGGCAAGCGGUACUCGAUGGGUAGGGGUAAAAUCCGUUGAUCCAUUGAAGACCACCAGUGGCGAAGGCGGCUUGCCAGAACGCGCUCGACGGUGAGGGAUGAAAGCUGGGGGAGCAAACCGGAUUAGAUACCCGGGUAGUCCCAGCUGUAAACGAUGCAGACUCGGUGAUGAAUUGGCUUCAUGCCAAUUCAGUGCCGCAGGGAAGCCGUUAAGUUUGCCGCCUGGGGAGUACGGUCGCAAGACUGAAACUUAAAGGAAUUGGCGGGGGAGCUCCACAAGGGGUGAAGCCUGCGGUUCAAUUGGAGUCAACGCCGGAAAUCUUACCGGGGGCGACAGCAGAAUGAAGGUCAAGCUGAAGACUUUACCAGACAAGCUGAGAGGAGGUGCAUGGCCGUCGCCAGCUCGUGCCGUGAGGUGUCCUGUUAAGUCAGGUAACGAGCGAGACCCCUGCCUCUAGUUGCUACCAUUAUUCUCAGGAGUAGUGGAGCUAAUUGGAGGGACUGCCGUCGCUGAGACGGAGGAAGGAGGGGGCUACGGCAGGUCAGUAUGCCCCGAAACCCUCGGGCCACACGCGGGCUGCAAUGGUAAGGACAAUGAGUAUCGAUUCCGAAAGGAGGAGGCAAUCUCUAAACCUUACCACAGUUAUGAUUGAGGGCUGAAACUCGCCCUCAUGAAUAUGGAAUCCCUAGUAACCGCGUGUCACUAUCGCGCGGUGAAUACGUCCCUGCUCCUUGCACACACCGCCCGUCGCUUCAUCGAAGUUGGUUCUUGGCGAGGUGAUGCCUAAUUGGUACUAUCGAACCUGGGGUCAGCAACGAGGGAGAAGUCGUAACAAGGUGGCCGUAGGGGAACCUGCGGCCGGAUCACCUCCUUAGUUAUCAUAUCUUGCAACACAGAACAAAAUAGACAAAAAGAGAAAAAUGGGUGAAGAAGAAGGAGAACUAUAACUCUGUUAUUCGUGUACUUAAAAAAACAAACAUGAAGAUAGUCAGUUUAAUAACUCUAAUACAAUUGUUGGUAUAUAUAAUUGACAAAUUUUGCAGUGGUAUCUGUGCAAAUGUUAUAAUGAAUAUUUAUCGGUGUCUGUCUGGUCUUCAUGCGUACCAAAUAGUCAGUACACUUAAACUCAUAGCAAAAAGCAAACUAAAAACAGAAUAAGAACACGGAUGCAAUUCUUUGUCACGAAACUGAGGAGUAGGAAAGACAAAGGAUGAAGGUGACGUAGUAGGCAGCACCCUAUAGAUAAACAAAAAAAGUGGUGUUGUUUGCGAUGAUGUCGUGUAUAGGAUCAAAACUCCAUCAUAGUAUUACUAUUAGUUAAUAGAAAACACAACAAAAUAAAUAUGAGCAAAUGUUUGCAAGUCAAACAAAUGUUUAUGUGCUAACACAUAACAAUAUUGAAAGUGUAACAAUAGCAAUAACAACAACCAGGAAAAGAAAACAGCUAAAACAUUCGCGUAAUAACAAAAUAACCAAAUGAUGAGGGAUAUAGGACUGGAAUAAAAUGCAGGCUGAAUUGUUGUCAUUGUCUUUGUAUUUUCAUGUUUGUGUAAUGUAUGCGAUUAUUGUAGUUGUAGUAUUAGUUGUAUUUGUGGUAGUAAUCGUGGUUGUAAGCAGUAAAAAAACAGCAAACGAGUAUAGUAAUAGUGUCAUACGUGUAAAACAACCGUUGAAGACAUGUUAAUUAUUAUCACUGGAUUGUGGAACUCGAUCUAUCGAGUGACUAGAUUAAGAUCAUGAUAAGGAAAUGAUCAUCAAAGGUCAAAUUAAAAAAUAAUCUCUAUCCAUUAAAAUUGGAAACUGGAACUGGUGCAAAGACGCCGGUUGGUGGAUG